CCUACGGGUGGCAGCAGUGGGGAAUAUUGGGCAAUGGGCGCAAGCCUGACCCAGCAACGCCGCGUGAAGGAAGAAGGCUUUCGGGUUGUAAACUUCUUUUCGUAGGGACGAAGAAAGUGACGGUACCUCAGGAAUAAGCCACGGCUAACGACGUGCCAGCAGCCGCGGUAAUACGUCGGUCGCAAGCGUUAUCCGGAUUUAGUGGGUGUAAAGGGUGUGUAGGCGGGAAAGCAAGUCAGAUGUGAAGACUCAGGGCUCAACCCUGGGCCUGCAUUUGAAACUGUUUUUCUUGAGUGCUGGAGAGGCAAUCGGAAUGCCGUGUGUAGCGGUGAAAUGCGUAGAUAUACGGAGGAACACCAGUGGCGAAGGCGGAUUGCUGGACAGUAACUGACGCUGAGGCGCGAAAGCGUGGGGAGCAAACAGGAUUAGAUACCCCUGUAGUC
Molecule: ribosomal RNA, 443 nt
Filed under: uncultured bacterium
Lineage: Bacteria
Description: partial 16S ribosomal RNA
Rfam family: Bacterial small subunit ribosomal RNA
Source: RNAcentral